This 497-nucleotide ribosomal RNA is filed under the name uncultured bacterium. Its description in RNAcentral is "partial 16S ribosomal RNA". It matches the Rfam family "Bacterial small subunit ribosomal RNA", at positions 28 to 507 of the family's 1533-position model. The record is from RNAcentral.
GAUGAACGCUGGCGGCGUGCCUAAUACAUGCAAGUCGAGCGAACGGACGAGAAGCUUGCUUCUCUGAUGUUAGCGGCGGACGGUUGAGUAACACGUGGAUAACCUACCUAUAAGACUGGGAUAACUUCGGGAAACCGUAGCUAAUACCGGAUAAUAUUUUGAACCGCAUGGUUCAAAAGUGAAAGACGGUCUUGCUGUCACUUAUAGAUGGAUCCGCGCUGCAUUAGCUAGUUGGUAAGGUAACGGCUUACCAAGGCAACGAUGCAUAGCCGACCUGAGAGGGUGAUCGGCCACACUGGAACUGAGACACGGUCCAGACUCCUACGGGAGGCAGCAGUAGGGAAUCUUCCGCAAAGGGCGAAAGCCUGACGGAGCAACGCCGCGUGAGUGAUGAAGGUCUUCGGAUCGUAAAACUCUGUUAUUAGGGAAGAACAUAUGUGUAAGUAACUGUGCACAUCUUGACGGUACCUAAUCAGAAAGCCACGGCUAACUACGUG